RNAcentral lists this ribosomal RNA (639 nucleotides) under uncultured Pseudomonadota bacterium. RNAcentral describes it as "bacterial SSU rRNA". It matches the Rfam family "Bacterial small subunit ribosomal RNA", at positions 56 to 709 of the family's 1533-position model. Lineage: Bacteria; Pseudomonadati; Pseudomonadota. The record is from RNAcentral.
UGCAGUCGAGCGGUAACAGGCGUAGCAAUACGUGCUGACGAGCGGCGAACGGGUGAGCAAUACUUCGGAAUCUGCCUUGUAGUGGGGACUAACCAGCCGAAAGGUUGGCUAAUGCCGCAUACGCCCUUCGGGGGAAAGCGGGGGAUCGCAAGACCUCGCGCUAUUGGAUGAGCCGAAGCCGGAUUAGCUAGUUGGUAGGGUAACGGCCUACCAAGGCGACGAUCCGUAGCUGGUCUGAGAGGACGACCAGCCACACUGGGACUGAGACACGGCCCAGACUCCUACGGGAGGCAGCAGUGGGGAAUAUUGGACAAUGGGGGCAACCCUGAUCCAGCGACGCCGCGUGUGUGAAGAAGGCCUGCGGGUUGUAAAGCACUUUUAGUGGGGAUGAAAAGCUCAGGGCUAAUACCUCUGGGUCUUGACCUAACCCAAAGAAAAAGCACCGGCUAACUCUGUGCCAGCAGCCGCGGUAAUACGAGGGUGCGAGCGUUAAUCGGAAUUACUGGGCGUAAAGCGUGCGUAGACGGUUAUCUAAUCGGGUGUGAAAUCCCCGGGCUCAGCCUGGAAUUGCUUCAGACUGAAUAGCUAGGGUGCGGAGAGAACGGAAUUUCGUGUCGGUGAUGCUAAUGCGAAGAACUC